RNAcentral lists this transfer RNA (83 nucleotides) under Chlorobiota bacterium. RNAcentral's name for it is "tRNA-Leu". It matches the Rfam family "tRNA". Rfam says of the family: Transfer RNA (tRNA) molecules are approximately 80 nucleotides in length. RNAcentral also lists the same sequence under 1 other name. Lineage: Bacteria; Pseudomonadati; Chlorobiota. The record is from RNAcentral.
GCGAAAAUGGCGAAAUUGGUAGACGCGCUAGACUUAGGAUCUAGUGGAGAGAUCCGUGGGGGUUCGAGUCCCCCUUUUCGCAC